Molecule: non-coding RNA, 80 nt
Organism: Pleodorina starrii
Lineage: Eukaryota; Viridiplantae; Chlorophyta; Chlorophyceae; Chlamydomonadales; Volvocaceae
Source: the annotation of a GenBank genome assembly
GGUUGCGUGGCCGAGUGGUCUAAGGCGUAGGAUUAAGGCUCCUAUCCGAAAGGGCGCAGGUUCGAACCCUGCCGCAGCCA